GGGCCCGCACAAGCGGUGGAGCAUGUGGUUUAAUUCGAUGAUACGCGAGGAACCUUACCAGGGCUUAAAUGUAGUAUGACCGGUCUAGAAAUAGACCUUCUCUUCGGAGCAGAUUACAAGGUGCUGCAUGAUUGUCGUCAGCUCGUGCCGUGAGGUGUUAGGUUAAGUCCUGCAACGAGCGCAACCCCCUAUUCUUAGUUGCCAGCGGUUCGGCCGGGGACUCUAAGAAGACUGCCAGCGCAAGCUGAGAGGAAAGGUGGGAUGACGUCAAAUCAUCACGGCCCUUACGUCCUGGGCUACACACGUGCUACAAUGGUACAGACAGAGGCAGCCACCUGGCGACAGGGAGCGAAUCCUUAAACUGUAUCUC
Molecule: ribosomal RNA, 370 nt
Filed under: uncultured bacterium
Lineage: Bacteria
Description: bacterial SSU rRNA
Rfam family: Bacterial small subunit ribosomal RNA
Source: RNAcentral